AUGGUUUUAACAGCAAGUUUGGUCAUAAAUGAUGCGAAUAUGACAUAUAAACAUGGUGAAGAAAUUCAAGACAUAAGGGCAUCAAGCAUGAAGAUUACUUUGAGAUGUUAUGGAAGCUUGAAGUUUGGUUUUUGCAACCAAAAGCAUGAAUUUCAUAAGUCUAGAAACUUAGAAUUCUUACGUUUUAGGACCAAAUUCAUACUGUCAUGUUUAGAACUUUGU
This is a non-coding RNA of Vicia faba (fava bean), 222 nucleotides long. NCBI's taxonomy places the organism in Eukaryota, Viridiplantae, Streptophyta, Magnoliopsida, Fabales, Fabaceae. The record is from the annotation of a GenBank genome assembly.